UAAGCGGAGGAAAAGAANCUANCAAGGAUUCCCCUAGUAACUGCGAGUGAAGCGGGAAAAGCUCAAAUUUAAAAUCUGGUGGUCUUUGGCCAUCCGAGUUGUAAUUUAGAGAAGCGUCUUCCGCGCUGGACCGUGCACAAGUCUCCUGGAAUGGAGCGUCAUAGAGGGUGAGAAUCCCGUCUUUGGCAUGGACACACCAGGGCUUUCGUGAUGCGCUCUCGAAGAGUCGAGUUGUUUGGGAAUGCAGCUCAAAAUGGGUGGUGAACUCCAUCUAAAGCUAAAUAUUGGCGAGAGACCGAUAGCGAACAAGUACCGUGAGGGAAAGAUGAAAAGCACUUUGGAAAGAGAGUGAAACAGUACGUGAAAUUGUUGAAAGGGAAACGCUUGAAGUCAGUCACGUCGACCGAGACUCAGCCUUGCCUCGGCUUGGUGUACUUCUCGGCUGACGGGUCAGCAUCAAUUUUGCCCCUUGGAUAAUGGCGAGGGAAAUGUGACACCUUUAUGGUGUGUUAUAGUCUCUCGUCGCAUGCAAGGGUUGGGAUUGAGGAACUCAGCACGCGCCCUUUGGGUGUCGGGGCUUUGCCCACGAUACGUGCUUAGGAUGUUGGCAUAAUGGCUUUAAACGACC
This 628-nucleotide ribosomal RNA is filed under the name uncultured Russulaceae. RNAcentral's name for it is "LSU rRNA". It matches the Rfam family "Eukaryotic large subunit ribosomal RNA", at positions 47 to 649 of the family's 3401-position model. Lineage: Eukaryota; Fungi; Basidiomycota; Agaricomycetes; Russulales; Russulaceae. The record is from RNAcentral.